Molecule: ribosomal RNA, 49 nt
Filed under: Chaetomium sp. 3431
Lineage: Eukaryota; Fungi; Ascomycota; Sordariomycetes; Sordariales; Chaetomiaceae
Description: partial 28S ribosomal RNA
Source: RNAcentral
GAUCAGGUAGGAAGACCCGCUGAACUUAAGCAUAUCAAUAAGCGGAGGA